This 1155-nucleotide long non-coding RNA is filed under the name Homo sapiens (human). Its description in RNAcentral is "long intergenic non-protein coding RNA 1859". Lineage: Eukaryota; Metazoa; Chordata; Mammalia; Primates; Hominidae. The record is from RNAcentral.
ACCCAUGCUUUGUCAAUAGGAGAGAUUGUGACAUAUCUCUGGAACCAGAACCUUAGUGAUGUGACGCUUCUCUCCUGCUGAAGCCAUGCCCACACAAGGGAAAGUGACUUAUCACUGGGCCCAGCACACAGGUCUUUUCCCACAGGGAGCAUUGUGAAACAUCACUGGGCUCAGCCACCAGGUUAUGUGACUCUUCUGCCUGUGCCCUGCUUCCAGAAAAUAUUGUGACAUUCCUCAUACAGCAUCCAGGUGAUGUGACUCUUCUGCUCAUUUUCUACUUACAGGAGACAUGCCCAAAAAAGGGAUUGUGGCAUAUCUCUGAGCCCAGCACCCAAAUGUUGUGACUCUCCUGCCUGAGCUGUGCCUAGAGAAAAUAUUAUAAUAUGUCACCGGACCCUGCAUGCAAGUGAUCCAAUUCUCCAGUCUGGGCCUUGCCCAUAGAGGAGAUUGAGACAUAUUCCAGGUGGAUGGUGACUCUAAGACCAGGAUUCAACACACCUAGAAGGCUUUGACUCUGAUACCAGUCACAGAAGGCUCUGUGACUCUUCUAUUUUCUCUAGGUCAUGCAAAUGGAGGCGGAUUUUGACAUAUCAUAAAGCCAACAUAAUACACAGUCUGCAGGUGGAAUUGGGACUCUCAUGCAUGGAUCCAGUUCAUCAUUGAUACUGUGACUCAUGUACUUGGAUGCAACUCACAGGAGGUGUUGACGCUUUUUACCUGAAGCUGGGACAUGUGUGGAAUUGUGAAUCCUAGCCCUAGAUCUUCCCACAGGUCAUGCAAAUGGAGGGGGAUUGUUACAUAUCAUAGGGCCAACACAAAAAUAAUGUAAAACUCCUGCCUGAGCCAUGCCCAUAGAAGGCAUUGUGACAUAUCACCCGUCACAGCACUCAGGUGGGAUUUUGACAUAUAACUGCACCCAGCACACAGGUGAAGUAUCUCGUAUGCUCAUCCUGCCAAAAGUUAUGAGUGUCACCCUCACACAUGGACAGAGACCUCUGGUUAGGUCUUGAAUCUUGUACAUGGACACAGUCCGCAGUUGGAAUGUCAUAUGUAGAUCCAGCCACAGGUGUGAUGUUGACCUAUUUAUAAAGUUAGCUCACAGGCACAUUGAUAACUCUCAUACCUGGAUCCAGCCAAUAAAAGAUAUGUUGACUA